This is a small nuclear RNA of Ailuropoda melanoleuca (giant panda), 102 nucleotides long. NCBI's taxonomy places the organism in Eukaryota, Metazoa, Chordata, Mammalia, Carnivora, Ursidae. The record is from Ensembl.
GUGCUCGCUUUGGCAGCACAUGUACUAAAAUAGAAACAAUACAGAGAAGAUUAGCAUGGCCCCUGUGCAAGGAUGACAAAUUGUGAAGUGUUCCGUAUUUUU